This 775-nucleotide ribosomal RNA is filed under the name uncultured Neocallimastigales. RNAcentral describes it as "partial large subunit ribosomal RNA". It matches the Rfam family "Eukaryotic large subunit ribosomal RNA", at positions 23 to 616 of the family's 3401-position model. Lineage: Eukaryota; Fungi; Neocallimastigomycota; Neocallimastigomycetes; Neocallimastigales. The record is from RNAcentral.
AGAGAGAGACAUGCGCGCAUAUCAAUAAGCGGAGGAAAAGAAACUAACGAGGAUUCCCUUAGUAACGGCGAGUGAAGCGGGAAGAGCUCAAAUUUGAAAUCUUCAAGGGUUUACCUUUACGAAUUGUAGUUUAAAGAAGUGUUUUCUGUUGAGGUUUUGGUAAAAGUUCUUUGGAAUAGGACAUCAUAGAGGGUGAGAAUCCCGUAUUUGACCUUUACUUUCAACUUUGUGAUACACUUUCAAAGAGUCGGAUUGUUUGGGAAUGCAGUCCAAAAUGGGUGGUAAAUUUUCAUCUAAAGCUAAAUAUUGGCGAGAGACCGAUAGCGAACAAGUACCGUGAGGGAAAGAUGAAAAGAACUUUGAAAAGAGAGUUAAACAGUACGUGAAAUUGUCAAAAGGGAAGCGUUUGACACCAGUGUUGUUUUUCUGAAAAUCAAUUAAAGAACUGUUUAUGCUAAGUUGUUUAGACUUUAUCAGCUAACUGUUUAGUUUUGAGCUUUUCUUUAAUGCACUUUUCAGUUAACAAGUCAACAUCAAUUUCUUUUGCUGUAAAAAAGCUUGAGGAAGGUGGCUUGAGAUUCGUCUUAAGUGUUUAUAGCCUCUUGCCUAUGCAGUCGGAGAGAUUGAGGUCUGCAGCGUAGAUCCUUCGGGGCUAAAUGCAUUUGUGCUAAGUUAUAGCAUUUUAUAGACAACUUGUUGACUAUGAUUUGUCUUGUAGCUUACUCGCUUAUGUUAUUUUACCUACGCUUAGGAUGUUGAGCGCAUGUCUCUCUCU